CUUACUAACCCCGGAGGCUUAGCGAAAGCGAGAGAGCGUGUUGGAGGGCACCGGAUUUGGAGAGGUGUCUCGGCGAAGUCGUUCGCGGGUCGGGGUUCGCCCCUUCCUUGCGGCCUCCGAGCCGUGCCCGAUCCUGCUGGCGCGACGAGUGCUCGUACACUUUCCGUCGGCCGCCCCGCGUUCGUUGUCAUCGCCGUAGUCGUCGGAUUUUCCUCCUCGCGGGGGAGAUGAUGUUUGUGGCUGCGGCGGACGUGCGUCCGGGUUGUUGUUCGGCGGCGUCACCUUCCUCCUUCCGCCCACCGGUGAGAUCCCGCGGCUUGAACCAGCACACUUUUGUUCGUCGAGUUUAGGCACUGCACGCGGGCGCAUCACCCCCGGGUCGGAUUUCCGAGUACGACUCGGCCGACUCUGGCGUAGCGAGCGACCAGGGACCCGAAAGAUGGCGAUCCACGCCCGGUCGGGAUGAAGCCAGAGGAAACUCUGGUGGAAGUCCGAAGCGCCUCUGACGUGCAAAUCGAUCGUCGAAACCGGGUGUAGGGGCGAAA
This 545-nucleotide ribosomal RNA is filed under the name Architeuthis dux (giant squid). RNAcentral describes it as "eukaryotic LSU rRNA". The stretch from base 430 to 545 matches the Rfam family "Eukaryotic large subunit ribosomal RNA", at positions 813 to 928 of the family's 3401-position model. The record is from RNAcentral. Lineage: Eukaryota; Metazoa; Mollusca; Cephalopoda; Oegopsida; Architeuthidae.